Pelobates cultripes (western spadefoot toad) is the source of this 1985-nucleotide non-coding RNA. NCBI's taxonomy places the organism in Eukaryota, Metazoa, Chordata, Amphibia, Anura, Pelobatidae. The record is from the annotation of a GenBank genome assembly.
GCAUAAAAAAAAGGAAUGCAGUGUUACAUUACAGCCGGGACUUAGAGACCUGACUGUCGUCUAGGUUGGUGUUGGUACAUUGCGGCACUUUUCUCCCCCUCCUCCCCUAGUCCGAGACUAACUUACCAAUAUACAGUUGUUAACAUUUAUUUUUUUUUUUACAAUUAUUCCUUAAGCAGUACUUUAACCCUUCAACUGUCUACCCAUGGUUUGUUUUUUUUACUGGUUGCCUAGCAACUAAAUUGUAACUUGAAUAUUGAUAGGAUACCAUUGAGGAAGUUCCUUGUAGGAACAUAACGCAUCUGGUAACAAAAAGAAAAAUUACAUUUAACUGUUUGGAGAAAAAGAUCAUGUUUAGUCCGCUGUGUUUCUUAACAUCAAACAAAAUAUUAUUUGACCAGUAAAUCCACCAAACUCCUUUUCUGAACCACAAACAUCUGAUUCUGCUGAAUAAAGUUGUUCAUCUACACAAUAUACAUUCAGAUACCUUACCUUAUUAUUUACUUAUUGUAAUAAAAUACUUUUUUUUUUUUUUUUUUUAAAUCAAUGUCACAUUCUAGUUCCAAGCUGGAAUUAAGUGUAUGGGUCCUGUUCCCCAAUCCAUCAUCAGCAGUACUACGAUUUCUGAAAGUUGGAACAGCUUGUCCUCGGAGGAUUGUUGACACAACGGCUGCCUACAGCAUUAUUAGUAGUAUUCAGACUCAGGAUUGUGGGAUUAGCAGCAUGCCCAUUAAAUCUGAUUCAACACCCAGAAGGCAAUUCCCCCCACCAUCUAUGCAUUUCAAGCUGCAACAACCUGCAUUGCUGCUUCCACUGGCACGCUGCUUCCACUGGCACUGCAGCUCCAUCUGCCAGAGCUAGUUCAAGCAUUAUACCUUCUUGGUACCCCCCUCAAAAAGCAAAUAAAGGGGACUGCAACAGUGUCACCAGAGCUACUCCUUAGUGAGGACUUGGCACAGAGUUUCAAAGUAGCAUCCCUCAACAUGUAGUGUUAGUGGUGAUAAAUCCAAUGAUAAUGUUUCUUUGAGGCAAACAUGCUGUUGUCACGAGUUCCUGGAGGAGCCUACUAGCUAGCCUCCUGCCCAAAGACUAUGGGCCGUAUCCAAAGACCCUGGUCGGGAGAUAAACCUCCCCAGCCACCAUUAGCAGCUUUCCCUGGGUGCCCCUGGUUCGGCACUCUACCUUCAUUAUAAUGGAGCCGAAAAUUAACUCCCUGGCGGCCAUUCGGAUGAAGAAACCCGUGAAUUGUCUUCAGUGGUACUUAGCUGCGAUUGUUAUGGAACUAAAUUUUGCAUGAGGUGACCGUGCGGCUCACGGACAACUUGGUCCGGGGUUUUGAACGACUUUGCAACCCACCAGGAGAACGCUUUUUGGAAGGAAGGUGCCUGCAACAAAGGGGCACAAACGCUUCCCAAGAGCCAACCAGAGCACCCUAUAUUUUGUAUGCAGGAGCCCCCGAAAGUUGACCGGGCAAAGCACCAAAUGCCUGGAACUGUUUUGGACAUAGGACCACGCAUGCGGCCAGUCAGAACUUUCACAGUGGCGAUUACCCUACACUGUAUGGAUCUGAGCACUAUUUGGAGAACUUGAGCACUCUGAUCAGGGCUAUUUGGGGAUGAAAUUAUUUGUAGGGUUAUUUUAUGUUUUGCGGUAUUUUUAUGUUUGCCUCUUUUCCUGGGAGAUAAUUAGCUUACCGGUCUUUAACGCAAUUAACUCCCAGGCACAGAGACUUAUGGGAAGGGCUUGUCUUACAUUGAAUGGAGACCCCAUGCUGGGGGCUGUGUAUAAAAGCAGGCAACUUGGCCAUAAUAAAUCAGUUCCUUUACACCCUUCACUCAGUCUUGACUAUUGUUUUGGUGUACCAGCUAUACAUCUAUACUCUCUGCAGGAGAACUUUAGUCACUAGAAGCUGAAUCCAGGACCAAGUUCUAGGGUGGGAAGUGAUGGCGAGACCCUGGCCAAGCUGCGGCAGCUAGGGGCUGAAG